GCCCUAUGUUUAACAAUAUAGGGUGAAACCUGCUCAAUGGCUACCAAUAAAUAAUAACAUUAGUUAAAUAGCCGCGGUAACUCUGACCGUGAUAAAGUAGCAUAAUCACUCGUCAUUUAAUUGGUGACUAGAAUGAACGGUUACACGAAUCUUCAACUGUCUCAACAAUUAAUAAUAUGAAGUUAAAAUAAUAGUGAAGAUGCUAUUUACUAAUUGCAAGACGAAAAGACCCUAUCGAGCUUUACUAAAAGCUUAGAAUUUUUUAAUAAAACAUAAAAGUAUCCCAAAAAAUCUCUAAGUUCGUUAGUUUGGUUGGGGCGACCACCUCUAAAAACGUAUCAGAGGUAAUCUAAUGGUUAUUUUCAAAUACUCAAAAGCCUGACUGAAUAUACACCAAUUAACCAGAUACUAAAAGUAGGAUAUAGUGACCCGUUGAGAUUUUUAUCAACCUCAACGUCCAUGAAAAAAGUUACCGUAGGGAUAACAGGGUAAUAUUUCUGAAGAGUUCUUAUCGAUAGAAAUGUUUGCCACCUCGAUGUUGAAUUAUGAUACCCUAAAGGUGCAGCAGCUUUAAAGGGUUG
RNAcentral lists this ribosomal RNA (581 nucleotides) under Thysanostoma thysanura. RNAcentral describes it as "partial 16S large subunit ribosomal RNA". It matches the Rfam family "Bacterial large subunit ribosomal RNA", at positions 1830 to 2574 of the family's 2925-position model. The record is from RNAcentral. Lineage: Eukaryota; Metazoa; Cnidaria; Scyphozoa; Rhizostomeae; Thysanostomatidae.